UGCGUAGGUGGUGAUAUAAGUUAACUGUGAAAUCCCCGGGCUCAACCUGGGAAGGUCAGUUAAGACUGUGUGACUAGAGUAUGGGAGAGGGUAGUGGAAUUUCCGGUGUAGCGGUGAAAUGCGUAGAGAUCGGAAGGAACACCAGUGGCGAAGGCGGCUACCUGGCCUAAUACUGACACUGAGGCACGAAAGCGUGGGUAGCAAACA
Molecule: ribosomal RNA, 207 nt
Filed under: uncultured bacterium
Lineage: Bacteria
Description: partial 16S ribosomal RNA
Rfam family: Bacterial small subunit ribosomal RNA
Source: RNAcentral